Molecule: ribosomal RNA, 497 nt
Filed under: uncultured bacterium
Lineage: Bacteria
Description: partial 16S ribosomal RNA
Rfam family: Bacterial small subunit ribosomal RNA
Source: RNAcentral
GAUGAACGCUGGCGGCGUGCCUAAUACAUGCAAGUCGAGCGAACAGACGAGGAGCUUGCUCCUUUGACGUUAGCGGCGGACGGGUGAGUAACACGUAGGUAACCUACCUAUAAGACUGGGAUAACUUCGGGAAACCGGAGCUAAUACCGGAUAAUAUUUCGAACCGCAUGGUUCGAUAGUGAAAGAUGGCUUUGCUAUCACUUAUAGAUGGACCUGCGCCGUAUUAGCUAGUUGGUAAGGUAACGGCUUACCAAGGCAACGAUACGUAGCCGACCUGAGAGGGUGAUCGGCCACACUGGAACUGAGACACGGUCCAGACUCCUACGGGAGGCAGCAGUAGGGAAUCUUCCGCAAUGGGCGAAAGCCUGACGGAGCAACGCCGCGUGAGUGAUGAAGGUCUUCGGAUCGUAAAACUCUGUUAUUAGGGAAGAACAAACGUGUAAGUAACUGUACACGUCUUGACGGUACCUAAUCAGAAAGCCACGGCUAACUACGUG